UCCUACGGGAGGCAGCAGUAGGGAAUAUUGCACAAUGGAGGAAACUCUGAUGCAGCGACGCCGCGUGAGUGAUGAAGGCCUUCGGGUCGUAAAGCUCUGUCGCAGGGGAAUAACACAAUGAAGGUACCCUGUAAGAAAGGAUCGGCUAACUUCGUGCCAGCAGCCGCGGUAAGACGAGGGAUCCUAGCGUUGUUCGGAAUUAUUGGGCGUAAAGCGGGUGCAGGUGGCUAUGUAAGUCAGGUGUGAAAGCCUAGGGCUCAACCCUAGAAGUGCAUUUGAUACUGCGUAGCUUGAGUGCUGGAGAGGAUAGUAGAAUUCCUGGUGUAGUGGUGAAAUACGUAGAUAUCAGGAGGAAUACCGGAGGCGAAGGCGGCUAUCUGGCUAGACACUGACACUCAGACCCGAAAGCGUGGGGAUCAAACAGGAUUAGAUACCCCUGUAGUC
RNAcentral lists this ribosomal RNA (444 nucleotides) under uncultured bacterium. RNAcentral's name for it is "bacterial SSU rRNA". It matches the Rfam family "Bacterial small subunit ribosomal RNA", at positions 337 to 795 of the family's 1533-position model. The record is from RNAcentral.